UACGGAGGGUGCGAGCGUUGUCCGGAAUCAUUGGGCGUAAAGGGCGCGUAGGUGGCCCCUCAAGCGUGCGGUGAAAGUCAGGGGCUCAACCCCUGAUCGGCCGUGCGAACUGGGGAGCUUGGGCACUGUAGAGGCAGGCGGAAUUCCGGGUGUAGCGGUGGAAUGCGUAGAGAUCCGGAAGAACACCGGUGGCGAAGGCGGCCUGCUGGGCAGUUUUGCUGACACUGAGGCGCGACAGCGUGGGGAGCAAACAGG
This 255-nucleotide ribosomal RNA is filed under the name uncultured bacterium. RNAcentral's name for it is "partial 16S ribosomal RNA". It matches the Rfam family "Bacterial small subunit ribosomal RNA", at positions 524 to 776 of the family's 1533-position model. The record is from RNAcentral.